CUUGCUUGUGGGCGUGUGUGCUGCGAGUUUGUAGUAUGUCGGUGAAUUUCUAAAUCCUCGUACGAAGACGUCAUCAGCGAUUCGUCGGACACAAGCUGGGCGCUGUUCGAUUAUGACAAACAGACGAACGACGUAAAAGUGAUUGAGACUGGAGGUCAGCUUUUUACGCAUGUAAACGUCGCAGGGAAUCGAGUUGACAGGACAACUGUAUGGGAGCAUCGAGGAGUUGGGCGAAGAGUUUAGCGGCAGUAAAAUACAAUACGGAUGGUGCAAAGUGACCGAUCCGAACACCAACCUGCCGUAGCUUGUUCUUAUCAACUGGUUUGGGGAGGCAGCACCGACAUCACGGAAAGGCGUCUGUCAAUGUCAUGUCAACGAUAUUGCCGGAUUUCUAAGGGGUGAUCACGUGACCAUCAAUGCUUGUCACGAAGGCGACGUGGAGGAGAAGGUCGUAUUGGAGAAAGUGUCGAAAUCAUCUGGAACUCGUUAUGGCUUCCACAAGGAAAAGGCCAGACCAGUGGAACGAUCCGGUCCAGUGUGAUUUGUGUGUUGCUUACAAGAAAGCCAACGUACGAGCUGAUAUUGAUGCAAACAAACGAGACAAGUUUUGGUCUGACCAAGAGAAACUUGAGAAGCAGCUCGUUCAAGAGGAACGUAAGGUAAAGUGAGGAAGCAAAGAAACGAGGCAGUGAAAUCAAAGAGAGGGAGGCAAGAGAGAGAUGACUUCAUGGAAAGAGGGAAGCUGAAUGUGCAUGAGCAAUUGAUGCACAGAAAAUUAAAGCUCGCAUGGAGCAGUUGGAUGGUGAAACUGAGAGGAAGAAGGAAGCGGCAAGCACACGAGGAAAGACAAAGGUUUAAGCAGCAGGGAACUGCAUCCAGUCAUCACUGUUCACGUGGCACUGGUCAUUGCUAUGAAUUGAUGUUCAUGCAUGUUGGUGUGGUUUGCAUGCAACAUGCUGCAGAGUAAGCUAAAACGUCUUGCAAAUGUAUUAUGGGAGACAUCAAGUGUCAGUUCUCAAAUGAAUCUAAUGUAGAUGAGUCUGUCUUAAAUACAAAGCAACUGAAGAUGAUAAGAGAGGACACGAGCAGUAGGUUGUAAGUCUAGUCCAUCAUCGAGUCGUGCAGUGGAUCAAGAGAAGCAACCAGUCAGCAGCCCAGCCAUCAGUUUGAAUAGUGGCAGAGUUUGCAAACGCAAAC
Molecule: long non-coding RNA, 1197 nt
Organism: Corticium candelabrum
Lineage: Eukaryota; Metazoa; Porifera; Homoscleromorpha; Homosclerophorida; Plakinidae
Exons: 11
Source: RefSeq, a predicted model, not a curated record